UGGGGAAUAUUGCACAAUGGGCGCAAGCCUGAUGCAGCAACGCCGCGUGAGGGACGACGGCCUUCGGGUUGUAAACCUCUUUUGGCAGGGAAGAAGCGAAAGUGACGGUACCUGCAGAAAAAGCACCGGCUAACUACGUGCCAGCAGCCGCGGUGAUACGUAGGGUGCAAGCGUUGUCCGGAAUUAUUGGGCGUAAAGAGCUCGUAGGCGGUUUGUCGCGUCUGCUGUGAAAACCCGAGGCUCAACCUCGGGCCUGCAGUGGGUACGGGCAAACUAGAGUGCGGUAGGGGAGAUUGGAAUUCCUGGUGUAGCGGUGGAAUGCGCAGAUAUCAGGAGGAACACCUGAGGCGAAGGCGGGUUGCUAGGCCGACACUGACGCUGAUGCGCGAAAGCCAGGGGAGCAAAC
This 406-nucleotide ribosomal RNA is filed under the name uncultured bacterium. Its description in RNAcentral is "bacterial SSU rRNA". It matches the Rfam family "Bacterial small subunit ribosomal RNA", at positions 355 to 773 of the family's 1533-position model. The record is from RNAcentral.